This 687-nucleotide long non-coding RNA is filed under the name Numida meleagris (helmeted guineafowl). Its description in RNAcentral is "lncRNA (ENSNMEG00000000741.1)". Lineage: Eukaryota; Metazoa; Chordata; Aves; Galliformes; Numididae. The record is from RNAcentral.
CAAUUUCAUGGGAUUUUGGGUGAAAUUAAUGGGAUUUUGGGUCAAGAUAAUGGCAUUCUGGGUCAAAUUAAUGGGAUUUUGGGUCAAGAUAAUGGGAUUCUGGGAGAAAUUUAUUGAAUUUUGGGAGAAAUUAAUGGGAUUUUGGGUCAACUUCAUGAGAUUUUGGGUCAAAGAACGGGAUUUUGGGUUGAGUCUCACGACUAGGAGUCAACCUCAUGAGAUUUUGGGUCAAGAUAACGCGAUUUUGGGUCAAGAGAAUGGGAUUUUGGGUCAACUUCAUGGGAUUUUGAGUCAACAGGAUUUUGGGUCAAGUUUUGGGAUUUUGAGUCAACUUAUUGGGAUUUUGAGUCAAGUAACAAGACUUUGGGUCAACUUAACGGGUUUUUGUGUCAACUUAGCGGGAUGUUGGGUCAGGAGAAUGGGAUUUCGAGUCAACUCUUGGGAUUUUGAGUCAACUUAUUGGGAUUUUGGGUCAACUCUUGGGAUUUUGAGUCAAGUUUUGGGAUUUUGAGUCAGCUUAACAGGAUUUUGGGUCAAGUUGGUGGGAUUUUGGGUCAAGUUAGCAGGAUUUGGGGUGGAAUUCUCAUCUUUUUGCUGCUCUGGCUGCACUAUAGAGCCAAGUAGAGCGUGAUGGGGCAGUGAUCGCUGCCCAUGGCCUUGUUGCGGAUCUUGGAAUCGCACAGGGCC